UACGUAGGGGGCAAGCGUUGUCCGGAAUUAUUGGGCGUAAAGAGCUCGUAGGCGGUUCGUCACGUCGGCUGUGAAAACCCGGGGCUCGACCCCGGGCCUGCAGUCGAUACGGGCGAACUAGAGUGCGGUAGGGGAGACUGGAAUUCCUGGUGUAGCGGUGAAAUGCGCAGAUAUCAGGAAGAACACCCGUGGCGAAGGCGGCUCUCUGGGACGGUACUGACGCUGAGACGCGAAAGCGUGGGGAGCGAACAGG
This 253-nucleotide ribosomal RNA is filed under the name uncultured bacterium. RNAcentral's name for it is "partial 16S ribosomal RNA". It matches the Rfam family "Bacterial small subunit ribosomal RNA", at positions 524 to 776 of the family's 1533-position model. The record is from RNAcentral.